Molecule: ribosomal RNA, 247 nt
Filed under: Bolbitiaceae sp. 1 CRJH-2017
Lineage: Eukaryota; Fungi; Basidiomycota; Agaricomycetes; Agaricales; Bolbitiaceae
Description: partial 28S ribosomal RNA
Rfam family: Eukaryotic large subunit ribosomal RNA
Source: RNAcentral
AAAGCUCAAAUUUAAAAUCUGGCAGUCUCUGAUUGUCCGAGUUGUAAUCUAGAGAAGUGUUAUCCGCGUUGGACCGUGUACAAGUCUCCUGGAAUGGAGCGUCAUAGAGGGUGAGAAUCCCGUCUUUGACACGGACUACCAGUGCUUUGUGAUGCGCUCUCAAAGAGUCGAGUUGUUUGGGAAUGCAGCUCAAAAUGGGUGGUAAAUUCCAUCUAAAGCUAAAUAUUGGCGAGAGACCGAUAGCGAA